Non-coding RNA from Rhodocollybia butyracea, 106 nucleotides. The record is from the annotation of a GenBank genome assembly. Lineage: Eukaryota; Fungi; Basidiomycota; Agaricomycetes; Agaricales; Omphalotaceae.
GCCUUCUUAGCUCAGUGGUAGAGCGUUGCACUCGUAUAUGUGGCCUUCUACCCAUCAAUAGGUAAAUACAAUGCAAAGGCCAGUCGUUCGAUCCGGCUAGAAGGCA